UCCCCUGUAGCUCAAUGGUAGAGCGUCCGACUGUUAAUCGGUAGGUUCGAGGUUCGAAUCCUCGCGGGGGAG
Molecule: transfer RNA, 72 nt
Filed under: Candidatus Levybacteria bacterium RIFCSPHIGHO2_01_FULL_40_15b
Lineage: Bacteria; Candidatus Levyibacteriota
Description: tRNA-Asn
Rfam family: tRNA
About the family: Transfer RNA (tRNA) molecules are approximately 80 nucleotides in length. Their secondary structure includes four short double-helical elements and three loops (D, anti-codon, and T loops). Further hydrogen bonds mediate the characteristic L-shaped molecular structure. tRNAs have two regions of fundamental functional importance: the anti-codon, which is responsible for specific mRNA codon recognition, and the 3' end, to which the tRNAs corresponding amino acid is attached (by aminoacyl-tRNA synthetases). tRNAs cope with the degeneracy of the genetic code in two manners: having more than one tRNA (with a specific anti-codon) for a particular amino acid; and 'wobble' base-pairing, i.e. permitting non-standard base-pairing at the 3rd anti-codon position.
Source: RNAcentral